AUUGAACGCUGGCGGCAUGCUUUACACAUGCAAGUCGAACGGCAGCACGGGUGCUUGCACCUGGUGGCGAGUGGCGAACGGGUGAGUAAUGCGUCGGAACGUACCGAGUAGUGGGGGAUAACGCAGCGAAAGUUGUGCUAAUACCGCAUAUUCUGUGAGCAGGAAAGCGGGGGAUCUUCGGACCUCGCGCUAUUCGAGCGGCCGACGUCUGAUUAGCUAGUUGGUGGGGUAAAGGCCUACCAAGGCGACGAUCAGUAGCGGGUCUGAGAGGAUGAUCCGCCACACUGGGACUGAGACACGGCCCAGACUCCUACGGGAGGCAGCAGUGGGGAAUUUUGGACAAUGGGCGAAAGCCUGAUCCAGCCAUGCCGCGUGUCUGAAGAAGGCCUUCGGGUUGUAAAGGACCUUUGUCAGGGAGGAAAUCCUGCUGGUUAAUACCUGGCGGGGAUGACAGUACCUGAAGAAUAAGCACCGGCUAACUACGUGCCAGCCGCCGCCGUAA
RNAcentral lists this ribosomal RNA (502 nucleotides) under uncultured bacterium. RNAcentral's name for it is "partial 16S ribosomal RNA". It matches the Rfam family "Bacterial small subunit ribosomal RNA", at positions 30 to 523 of the family's 1533-position model. The record is from RNAcentral.